UAGUCAGAGAAUCGUGCCAAAAUUGUAAGCGCAGAGAAAAGAAAGACGGAGCUGUACAUAUCGGUUUAUUUCGGGAACUUUUUGCGCUACAUACACAACAGCUUUUUCAAUUUAUU
Sinocyclocheilus rhinocerous is the source of this 116-nucleotide long non-coding RNA. RefSeq lists it as uncharacterized. NCBI's taxonomy places the organism in Eukaryota, Metazoa, Chordata, Actinopteri, Cypriniformes, Cyprinidae. The transcript has 3 exons. The record is from RefSeq and is a predicted model, not a curated record.